CAGCUACUUAAGUUCGCAGUUAAUCAAUUUGCGGAAGAAGAAUUCGAACGACGUUUAGAUGUACAUAUAUAUAAUCAUAUAUAACAAGUAUAUUCUAUGUCGAUAGAUAUGUUUGUAUUAACAAAUUGCCGAGUAUUUGACAGAGUAAUUGCAGUUUACUUAAUCUAAAUAUGACGAUUAAGGUUUACUGAAUAUGGUUCCUGAAGACGAUUUAAAGAGCGCAUAAUCGAAUCAAUGGACACAGAAUAAUUCACCAAAUCUUUGAUUUUGGCGGGGUUUGCAGCAGUGUUUCCAUCUUAUGAAAAAUUUAAAUUGUUUAUUUCUUUCACCUUAGAACUUCCGAUUCAUCGCGCACUAAACCUUUUUCCUUCACAUAUUCAAAAUACAAAUUACAGCUUCAAUUUUCA
Bactrocera neohumeralis is the source of this 407-nucleotide long non-coding RNA. RefSeq lists it as uncharacterized. The record is from RefSeq and is a predicted model, not a curated record. The transcript is spliced from 3 exons. Lineage: Eukaryota; Metazoa; Arthropoda; Insecta; Diptera; Tephritidae.